Melanaphis sacchari is the source of this 327-nucleotide long non-coding RNA. RefSeq lists it as uncharacterized. The transcript is spliced from 3 exons. The record is from RefSeq and is a predicted model, not a curated record. NCBI's taxonomy places the organism in Eukaryota, Metazoa, Arthropoda, Insecta, Hemiptera, Aphididae.
UGAUUAAAGGUGCAUCCCUACAGGGAGAGUUUAAUGCACUACACGAUCCUGGAGACUUCAUUUGCAAUCCGUUGUUACCGGAUUCUAAAACAAGAGGUAUCAUCAAAGACAAUCCAGUGGCUGAAAAACUCUUGAUGACAGAUCUUGCUCGUUGACCACCGAGAGAAUUGCUUUUGUGGUUUUUUGCCAUGCUUGAAGUACUUGGUGAAGGUGGUAAAGUAGGACAUAGAUUAGUAGUCACAGAUUUCAUAUAAUUAGAACAUCAGUAUGAAAAAUUAUGUACUUUAGAAAAUUAUUAGAAGAUACUAUGAACUAAAUAAAAGGAUA